This 224-nucleotide long non-coding RNA is filed under the name Lathyrus oleraceus (garden pea). Its description in RNAcentral is "Pisum sativum (pea) long non-coding RNA (PSAT_LNC005491)". Lineage: Eukaryota; Viridiplantae; Streptophyta; Magnoliopsida; Fabales; Fabaceae. The record is from RNAcentral.
UCGAGACUCCUUAAAAAUAAAAUAAAUUAAUUCGUUCAACUUUUUCUUUGUCGUAUGCGUAAUUUAUGUAAUAAUUUACGGUGUUAACUCUUCGUUACAGAAUAACAAACAUACCUGAAUUCAUUUUCACUAGUUACUAAUGAGAUAAAUGCUAAUUCAGAAUCAUUAAUUUGUAAUUGAUCAAAAGCUGCAUGCUUUUGAGAGAAUAUCAUUGACCACGAAAU